Molecule: ribosomal RNA, 734 nt
Filed under: Bacillus cereus
Lineage: Bacteria; Bacillati; Bacillota; Bacilli; Caryophanales; Bacillaceae
Description: bacterial SSU rRNA
Rfam family: Bacterial small subunit ribosomal RNA
Source: RNAcentral
GGCAUGCGGCGGCUAAUACAUGCAAGUCGAGCGAAUGGAUUAAGAGCUUGCUCUUAUGAAGUUAGCGGCGGACGGGUGAGUAACACGUGGGUAACCUGCCCAUAAGACUGGGAUAACUCCGGGAAACCGGGGCUAAUACCGGAUAACAUUUUGAACCGCAUGGUUCGAAAUUGAAAGGCGGCUUCGGCUGUCACUUAUGGAUGGACCCGCGUCGCAUUAGCUAGUUGGUGAGGUAACGGCUCACCAAGGCAACGAUGCGUAGCCGACCUGAGAGGGUGAUCGGCCACACUGGGACUGAGACACGGCCCAGACUCCUACGGGAGGCAGCAGUAGGGAAUCUUCCGCAAUGGACGAAAGUCUGACGGAGCAACGCCGCGUGAGUGAUGAAGGCUUUCGGGUCGUAAAACUCUGUUGUUAGGGAAGAACAAGUGCUAGUUGAAUAAGCUGGCACCUUGACGGUACCUAACCAGAAAGCCACGGCUAACUACGUGCCAGCAGCCGCGGUAAUACGUAGGUGGCAAGCGUUAUCCGGAAUUAUUGGGCGUAAAGCGCGCGCAGGUGGUUUCUUAAGUCUGAUGUGAAAGCCCACGGCUCAACCGUGGAGGGUCAUUGGAAACUGGGAGACUUGAGUGCAGAAGAGGAAAGUGGAAUUCCAUGUGUAGCGGUGAAAUGCGUAGAGAUAUGGAGGAACACCAGUGGCGAAGGCGACUUUCUGGUCUGUAACUGACACUGAG